Long non-coding RNA from Manis javanica (Malayan pangolin), 2127 nucleotides. RefSeq lists it as uncharacterized. Lineage: Eukaryota; Metazoa; Chordata; Mammalia; Pholidota; Manidae. The record is from RefSeq and is a predicted model, not a curated record.
UUUCUCAACUGCAAGCCCCGUCCGAAGAAAGGGACAAACUGCUUGAAUCUCAGCGACUGUGAGUCCUGUGUAAUGUCGGGGCGACCAAAAGGUCCUAAAGGUCAUGGACUUCCUUUGGCAAAUGGGGAGGUUUGGGCCAGAGUUCUUCAGUUCUCACCAUAUGUGAAGGGCCCCCACCCAUAAGAUGGCGAACCUCCUGCUUCUCUUCCCGGUCUUCGGUUCCCGCCAGCGCCACCCGAGGCCCAAUCACCUCUCGCCCCCCCCCCAUCCGAGUACCUGGCCAAUAGCCACCAGUCCCGUUGAAGUGGCACCUCAAUCAGCUUAUGUCCCUCCCUAUAUAACCUAGUACUUUUCCCCAAUAAAGUGGAACUCACCAGUGAAUUGCUGCAGUGUGUCGCUCCUUCCUUUCAAUAUGCACAGGACCUAAGGCCCCUGCCCCUCAGCCCUAGCCAUGAGGAAUUAUCCAGUUUAGUAACAGAUCUUGCAGCCUUCAGUCAAGCUGUCCAGCUAAUACUGUAUAGAGCAGAGGUGAACAUUCCCACUGAUCUCUGCGCAAGUGCAGAUUUGUAAGCAAAAUAAAUUAUUAGUAUUGUUUCAAGUCACAGAGUUUUAGAAUGGCUUGUUAUGCAACAAUAUUCAAGCACCUAUGAAGUGUUAAUAUCUAUAUCAAUUAUCAUGAAAGAAAAAAAAAUCACCUAAUAAUUGAAUUUUUUUCUUGGUAAUAUUUUAUGCCUCCACUAGCCUCACCUAUAGAAUACAAAAUUUUUAACCUUAAAAAGCUAAAAUUACUUAAUAAUCAACAUUCACCAUUCCUUAAAAAAAUUAAAAAGGUUUUAAGUCAGAGCCACUUUGGAUGAUGGGAAUUGACUUGCACAUGAGCUUAGCUCUGGGAGUAAAGGGUUUCCCCGCCUGGGGUACGUUCUCUGAACUCGAUGAAACUGGUGAAAGACAAGGGAAAGGGCAGGUCGGGAGGAACGGUUUUAUUGCUCACAACUCAUCUGUCCCUCAGCUCCACUAGCCAGCCCCCUGCUCUGUCUCUGCUGCCACAGCGCGUGCUCGCUUUCCCCACCCACCCCUUUCAGGAAAGAACUCCCUAGGCUGGUCCCUGGUGACUGGCGGGCACCAGACCAAUUAAGUACCAAGAACAGAGGGGAAAAGAAAAUGGCUGUUUUCUCUCCAUUGCCCCUGCCUGUGGCUGUGCCCUGGCACAUUGAUAGGCAAAUCGGCCAGGGCCAGGCCGGAAAUUCCUGGUGAAAACUUCCAUUUACCCCAUAAUGAUCAAGUUGUUAAGGAAAGAGUUGAAAUCAGUUUCCUAGGUUAUGCUUACUAACAUUUAUUUCCCAUAUCUUCCUAGAUGUUGGAGUGGUUGUCUUAAAACACAAAUCUGAUCACCUCUUUCCUCUGCCUAAAUGGCUUCCUGCUGCUCUUAGCCUCUUUCAGCUUCAGCCUCUGCAUUCUCAUUAAAAAUUGCUUCCCCCGCACUUCCCCCUACCUAUUGGGUCACUAUUUUCCAUCAAUCAAGUACCAGUAAGUGUCAGUUUCUCAGAUCUCCCUGUUGAAUAUUCUCGGGACAGUUAUUAUAAUCAUGAUGAAUUAUUUACGUUUGAUUACAUUUCACAUCUCUUGUCCUCAUUAUGCUUUAAGUGCUAUUGAGAAUACUAAGUAUGUCUGUUUAGUUCUAUUCUGUGACCUCAGAGCCUAAAACGAUACUGGCAUCUGGUUGACUCACCAUAAUAUUUAUUGAAUGAACCAUUGAUGAGGAUAAUUGAGGUAUGUCUUAUUCUUACUGGAGCCUCAGAUUUUAUGUAUGUAAAAUCAUUACCGGUGUUGUGAUCUGAUAGCCCAACAAAAUGUCAAAGACCAUAAAUGGCAGCCAUCUACCUUCACAUUAUAUAUAUCGCCUUAAACCAAAUGACUUAACUGUGAAACUUCACAUAAACUUUGUGUAUGACAAACCACAGUGUUCUUCAAACUUUUUGGUCUUGGCCCCCUAAAAUAAUUACCAGCUAGCUUAUUUUAAACUUGACAUCUAAAAUUUGUCAUUAAAAGUUUGAUCAGGUGCAAAGGAUGUACCUUCCAGCAUGUAACUUUAAAUCUUUUAAAAUAAAACUGUUGCCAAACUUUAAA